Molecule: ribosomal RNA, 182 nt
Filed under: uncultured soil bacterium
Lineage: Bacteria
Description: partial 16S ribosomal RNA
Rfam family: Bacterial small subunit ribosomal RNA
Source: RNAcentral
ACUCCUACGGGAGGCAGCAGUGAGGAAUAUUGCGCAAUGGGCGAAAGCCUGACGCAGCAACGCCGCGUGUAGGAUGAAGUCUUUCGGCACGUAAACUACUGUUAGAGGGGAAGAAACUCCGGUUACGCCGGGGGUGACGGUACCCUCAGAGAAAGCCACGGCUAACUCUGUGCCAGCAGCCG